UUUAUGCUUCUAUGAAAUUUACAAGGUUAGUCUAAUCAACAAUGCAUCUUAACCAUUUUGGAUAGUUAACAUAUAGGCCAAAUAGUGGUUUUAAGUCCGAAGCAAUUUUCAUCUUAUAAACGAAUUUUGAAGAUCGAGUUAGACACGACACAAAUUUUAUGUUACUUUUUUGUUUUGUUUUUGAGAGAACAAAUUUUAUCAUAUAUAAAAUAUUUUGAAGUCUCCACAAUGGUAUCAUAACUGAAAUUUUGACGGCAUUUUGCCACAAUAUAAAGGUUUGCAGUGUAAAACAACAAUUUAAAACCAUGGAGUGUACCUUAGUUAUAUUGGGAACCAAAGAACGCAAUGCGUAAAGCUUAUCCUUCAUUCGGCUUCGCCUCCUCCUCUCAGAAACCAAAGUCUUGGAUCUAUCAUUUUUCGACUUUGGCUUAGUAUCACCACUUGUAGUUGUUGUGGUAAUGCUUGUUGUUGUUGUUGCAGGAGAGGAGUAGUUAUCACCAUCAUUUUCUACUCUUAAUUCCUCCUUAGCUUCUCCAUCAAAACAAGAGAAAGAACCAAGUGAAGAAGUAGGAUCAAAAGUAGCAGUGAUAGUAUUUUCUAUGUUGUGAUCAAAUGGGUUUGAAGGAAAUGAAAGGAGUGAGUUAUCAACAAAACUUUGAUUCAUUAUAAGGUCAGAAUUGAAGUUACAAAUAGUAGUAUCUUCAUUCUCCUCCCCACGAAUCAAAUUGAUGAAUUGAUCAAAGUUUGGAUCGUCAAUGAAAUCAUGUAACUCAUAGUCAUUGUUAAUGUUUGCAAGUGUCUCUGGAUAAAAAUCCAUUGUGUUUAUUUUGGUUGAAAGUUGGAACAUAUGCUGAGUGAGAGAUCUAAAUAUUGUAUAUGUAUAUAUGUAACUUUUUUGUUCUUGACCCUCCGACUCUUGUAAGGCGCCCUGCUAAUCCAGAGUUAGACCGAAAAGCAAAUAACGUCUAGUUAAAUACUGUUUCAGUCAAGAUUCUAACUCAGUUUUUUU
This 1009-nucleotide long non-coding RNA is filed under the name Medicago truncatula (barrel medic). Its description in RNAcentral is "lncRNA gene22992". Lineage: Eukaryota; Viridiplantae; Streptophyta; Magnoliopsida; Fabales; Fabaceae. The record is from RNAcentral.